This 82-nucleotide transfer RNA is filed under the name Canis lupus familiaris (dog). It matches the Rfam family "tRNA". From Rfam's summary of the family: Transfer RNA (tRNA) molecules are approximately 80 nucleotides in length. The record is from Rfam by way of RNAcentral. RNAcentral also lists the same sequence under 1 other name. Lineage: Eukaryota; Metazoa; Chordata; Mammalia; Carnivora; Canidae.
GCCUGGGUGGCUCAAUGGUUGAGCAUCUGUCUUUGGCUCAGGUCGUGAUUCGGGGUCCUGGGAUCAAGUCCCACAUCAGGCU